Molecule: non-coding RNA, 105 nt
Filed under: [Bacillus] enclensis
Lineage: Bacteria; Bacillati; Bacillota; Bacilli; Caryophanales; Bacillaceae
Description: Bacillus enclensis TPP sequence
Rfam family: TPP riboswitch aptamer (THI element)
About the family: Vitamin B(1) in its active form thiamin pyrophosphate (TPP) is an essential coenzyme that is synthesised by coupling of pyrimidine and thiazole moieties in bacteria.
Source: RNAcentral
CGUAACCACAAGGGGAGCGAUUUGCUGAGAGUGAACGGCACUGCCUGUUCUGACCCUUUGAACCUGUUAGUUAGUACUAGCGUAGGAAUGUGGAUGAUAUAGGAU